ACGGUCUUGACUGGGGCCGGAACAAGACAC
This 30-nucleotide non-coding RNA is filed under the name Cricetulus griseus (Chinese hamster). The record is from RNAcentral. Lineage: Eukaryota; Metazoa; Chordata; Mammalia; Rodentia; Cricetidae.